UCUCCAGGACCUUGCUCCAGACAAAUAACACCCUGAAGCUCCAACUUUGUGGUGGGUCAAUUAAACUCCAUGAAAUAUGGUCAGUACCCUCCUCAUUAUGACAAGCUCACCUUGAUGCUAGUUUCUGUCUGCAACUCUUGGAUUCAAUCACCUCAAAAAAGGAGAGAUUAAACAGAACAUCUAUAAUCUUCUAAAGACCUAAAAGCCUGCAUUAUGUCUGGAAACUGUAGUAUUUAUCUACUAUUCCCAGGAGACUAUUGGUAAG
Molecule: long non-coding RNA, 265 nt
Organism: Orcinus orca (killer whale)
Lineage: Eukaryota; Metazoa; Chordata; Mammalia; Artiodactyla; Delphinidae
Exons: 4
Source: RefSeq, a predicted model, not a curated record